This is an RNA transcript of Rhinolophus ferrumequinum (greater horseshoe bat), 5368 nucleotides long. It is a transcript of the gene named endonuclease V, with no coding region annotated. Lineage: Eukaryota; Metazoa; Chordata; Mammalia; Chiroptera; Rhinolophidae. The record is from RefSeq and is a predicted model, not a curated record. The transcript has 10 exons.
GAGAGUGAAUAGCCAGUCCUUGCUUUGGGUCUCAGUCCAGGCAUAAAAAAACAGACACAGAGAAGAUAAAACCAGUUAAGCUUCCGAAAAGGCGAAAAGAAUGUUUGACUCGCCCUGCCCUUGUGCUGCUUUUCUCACUGUAAGUGCUGUGUCUUUUUCACAGUCUACUCGGAGGCUUAGUGACGUGGACUAACUCCCAUCCCUGGGUGGCCCAGCACCCAUUACCACUGAGAAACAAUUGUUUACAAGUACUCACUUGAACAUGCGUCUAAGUGAGUUAAUGACCCAAUCAACUUGAAGCUGGGCCCGUGGCUGGUGGGAGCUCAGACAACAGAGCUCCGUGGACGCCCUCAGCACCAGUGGAGGGAGCUGCCCAAGCAUUGCUUGUUCAUGGCUGUGACUUCAUAGGGUACAGUGAUGAUUGAUGAGGGGUGCACAGUGACCCAGGCCCCCCAGUAGUUCAUCUGAUAGAAUGUCCACUUACAGUUAGUAAUCUGUGACUGUUAGUCGUUCCAAACUAUGCAAAAGCACCCCAACCAACUUUUGCUGCCUGGACUGCCAUUCAAUCGGGGUGGAGCUGUUGCUUGUUCAACUCUUCACCUUGACCUUGGAACUCCUUUGAUACCUCAGAGUUGGGAGGGAGCUGGCCAGGCCAUCAGGUGCCACUCUGGUUCUUCCCUGUGCCACACCUGAGCAGAAGGCCUUUACAGGGGGACGGGACUGGGAAUUUUUUCCCCACUUUUAUGAAGGAUUUUUUUAAUGAAGAUAUUUCUUAUGCUACACUUUCAAAGCCUUAACUAACUAUCAUUAUCUCGCUCUGUCUUGAUGGUACAAAACUGCACUGACCUAACACAGGCAAAUGCCAAUUUAUUAUAUUUGUUAUACCCGUUUAAUGAACUUGAAUUUUGCUGCUUUUAACUAAUACUUCUCUUUGGGACCAGAACUUCCAUUUAUGGCAAAUGGACCUCAACUGGGCUUUUGGGAAUGUUUUUGGUUGUCUGUGAUGUCCACCAACUGCAACGUACACUCUGGUUUAGAACGUGAGGGUACAUUUCCUCUGGAUAAAAUGACAGCAUAGCUGAGGACCCACGGGGUUGGACACCACGCCGCCAAAGCUUCAGCCGCCUCCUUGGGGGGUAUGUCCUCCCAGGCCCCACCUGGAGUGACUUCACUGGGGGCGAGGAGAGUUCUAGGUGACAAUGAGUCACAGCUGACUGAAUGGCUGUGCUGUGGGACGAGGAAGAGUUCCCCAGUAAAAGGAAAUAGAGAUGGGAGAGAGCAAUAGUAAGCUUCCAGCAGCCCCCUUACAUUUAUUUGGGUGGUAAAACACCACUUUAGGGAAAAACUGCCUUUUCUCUUCCAAAAAGAAAAGGCUCCUCCAGGAGAGAGGCCUGUGGUCUAGAACUCUAGCUCGGAGAAGAGACGGCUGGCUCAGCAAGGAGGACGUGCGGCCGCUGCCAGACCCCUCGUCUUCCCUCACCAUCGCGUCACAACUCCCACCCUUCCCUUCCUGUCCAUCUGUGUGUCUGGACAUUGCACUGUUCGUUCUGCUUUCCGUCAGGGCAGGAACAGUCAGAGGUCGGUGGGGACUUCCCUGCAAAUCUGCACGACUGAUCACUGUCUCCUCCUCUUCAAGACCUUUUGUUAUGGGCGAUAGGAUUUCGUCGUUUGUUCACUGAGAGCCAGGAGCUGUUUUUCUUCCCACACCCCCCGUGACCUAGUUCAGUUAUUCCUAGAUGCAGGCAACGCCAACCUGGAAACAAACUUCCAGAGAAAAGCAAACAUGGUGAAGACAAGGUCAGGUCAAGGGCCCCCCUAGGUAGGUAAAGUGCACAAGUCUCUGGCUGCCUGUUAUGCACUACGUGUGAAGCAGCUGUACCAGCUGGGCCUGGAGAGAGACUAGACGGGGAGGUAGACGGACAAAACCCGAGGCUGUGAGCUCAGUAACUCCCAUCGCAGCCAGGAGUCGUAUUUAUAUUGCUGUCUGCCUGCCUUUUUCUAAUCCCUCAGUCGCUGAUUAAGCAUUAUGAAUCCAUUUCAAACUGGAAAAGCAAGUCCCAGGAAAGUGUGGGUGCUGACACAGUUCACACCUCAUCAGACUCGCGGGUAUCCUGGGACAGCAGGACCCUGAUUCCUUCUGAGGGGGUGGGAGUGUUUCCAGGAGCUGUGUGGGCCAAGAGCAGAGAGUGAAAGUGGGGGGAAAGGGCCAUAGCUGGGACACAUAAGAGCUGCCCCUGAUUUUCCGCGUCCUGUUAAAUCUGCCUUCAACCGCCACCCCCCUUCACACACCUAAACUUUAAGUGUUCCCUCUCCGGCAUUGCCUCUCCAUCACUGCUGUACCUUGAAGCACGCCUGAACCCUAACCCAGAGCACAGUUCCUCUCUCCAGACCACUCACUGCCAUCGCCACGGCCCCACCAGUGACGCCCAGUGAGCAAAUCCAAAGGCCUCCAACCACCCUGGAGCACGAGAAGGCUGACACAGUGCAGCCCAGACGGGUCGUGGAGUAAAUGGGGAGCUGGCUCUCCCAUCUGCCAGCUCUAUGACCGUGGGCAGGCCACUUGACCUCUUUAAGGGUCAAUUAUCCCACCUGUGAAGUACCUCUCAGUGCCGCAGUGAGAAAUUUGAGUUAGUGUAGGUAAAUAACCGAGCACAGUGCCUGGCGAGCAGCAGGCAGGUGCUUAAAAGAUGGUACUCGUCCCCUCUCCCAGCUGAGCACUCACCCGUGUCUCAAGGCCCUGCCUGUUGUCAGAUGCUAUGUGAGGCCUUUCCUGAGCCUCAGACUCUAAUCCUCGUCUCCCGUCUUUUCCUCUGGAGAUCCACAUUCAGACUACAUUUCCUAUGCACGUACUUCUGUGAAGCCCCCAGACCAAUGUGAACCACGGGUUAAAUCGCUAUCCUUCAGUGCCUCAAAUACGCCAGCUUCUUUCCUACUUCAGGACCUUUGCACAUCCUGUUCUUGUUGCCCGAAAUGCUCUCUCCUCCUUACCCCUCCAGGUCUCUUUUUGAAUGUCACCCCCUCAGGGACACACGCCUUUCCCAACCAGCAGUUUAAAGCAGGCUCCCAUAUCAUUUUCUCUCGAGCACUUCCCACAAGUGCAGUUACACCGGGAGGAAGCUGUAACCCCCACAUCGAGCACGCCGCCUGGCACGGAGAGAGCACGGCAUUAAUAGUCUUUAAAGUGAGGAGCCUGUGCGAAGAGUCCGUGCUCCGAAGGCUGGCUGUGGGGUCCGGUGGGUGAGGCUUCCUGCACACCAAGAUACGUCCCCUCCAAUUUGUGAGUGUGGCUCCACUAAGGGCUGUGCCCUUCCCUCAGAAACGUGCUGACAGUGAAAAGUGCAGUCAAGAUGCCAUGAAAAUGGCAGGUGCUCAGUGACGGGGUUCAGGACGCACUACCCCAAACGAUGGUACCUUGGCCCAUUGAAUAUCAAGCUGAAGUUUGAGAAAACGGCAGAACUGGUUACGUCACUGCCGUUUCUCCCAGUUUUCACUUUAAAACCUCCCACGGGCAUGGUGCCCUCCCUGUGCCAGGAAGGAGGGGGCUUAUCCCCAGAGAGUGUAUCGACCCGAAGGCCGGCUAAGCAAACUGUUACUUCCCCGUUUACACACGUGGCCCAAACCCCUGCCUUGUCAAUGCUUCACUCACUCGGUUCGUCUAAAAGGUACGCAGCUUCCUGCUCUGAUCACUUCUCCGUCUUCCUUCUCUGGUGAAGGCUCCCGUGUGCAUGUGAAAGCCCAAUAAACGCGUGUGCCUUCCUCCCGUUGAUCUGUGAGUCGGUGUCGCAGACCAAGCCAGGGUCUCCGGGGUGGGGGUGGGGUGGGAACGACAACUUUCCUCCCGCCACGGUGACACAACGGGGGGUAAGUUGGACUGGCUCACGGCCGGGACGGGGGCCGGGACGGCGGCCCGCAGGUUCCGUCACCCCCGUCCAUUCGGCGCGGAGCGACCGGAGCCUGCGGCUCCCUCGGCCGACAGCGGCGGCCCCGCUUCUCGGCGCCGUUUGCCCACCCGAGCGCGGAGGACGCUGCGCGCUGGUCGCCAGAUGGGCCUCCGGCCACGAGGCGGCGACAUCAGGGAAGCCACGCGGACGUGCCGCGCACGCCCAGAGACGGCCCCACCGGGCGCCGCCAUGUUGGUGGCCCGGCGCGUGCGCGGCGCCUCCGGAAGUGACGCACCGGAAAGGGCUGCCGGGGUCGAGCCAUGGCUCGGGAGGCGGUGGGGCGGCCGCCGGAGGAGACGCUGUCGCUCUGGAAACGGGAGCAAGCCCUGCUGCGGGCCCGCGUCGUGACCCGGGACACGGAGGCGUGGCAGCGGGACCCCGGCUUCUCGGGCCUGCGGAGGGUCGGGGGCGUGGAUGUGUCCUUUGUGAAGGGCGACAGCGUCAGCGCCUGCGCCUCCCUGGUGGUGCUCAGCUACCCGGAGCUCGAGGUGGUGUAUGAGGACUGCCACAUGGUUAGCCUGACGGCCCCCUACGUGUCGGGCUUCCUGGCCUUUCGAGAACUGCCCUUCCUGGUGGACGCGGUGCAGCGGCUUCGGGAGGAGGAGCCCCAGCUGAUGCCCCAGGUCCUCCUUGUCGAUGGAAACGGGGUGCUCCACCACCAAGGUUUCGGGGUGGCCUGCCACCUCGGCGUCCUCACAGGCCUGCCCUGCAUCGGGGUGGCCAAGAAGCUCCUGCAGGUGGACGGGCUAGAGAACAACGCCCGGCACAAGGAGAAGAUACGCCUCCUGCAGGCUGGAGGGGACACAUUUCCUCUGAUGGGAGACUCUGGGGCCAUCCUGGGCAUGGCCCUGAAGAGCCACGACCAUAGCACCAAGCCCCUCUACGUCUCCGUGGGCCACAAGGUGAGCCUGGAGGCGGCCGUGCGCCUGACUCGAAGCUGCUGCAGGUUUCGGAUCCCGGAGCCGGUGCGCCAGGUGGGUGGGCCGCCAGGUGGGUGGACCAGCGCGCACCACCUGCCCAUUCCGUGCUUCCGUCAGGCUGACAUCCGCUCCCGAGACUACAUCCGCAGGACACUGGGGGGCCCAAGGCCCCCUGCACCGGGGCAGGAGAGGCAGGAGUGGGCCCCGCCCGGGUCCCCCAGGGCAUUUCCUUUGUGGCUGUCCACUGAGCUGCUUUGAGAAUGGGGAGAAGGUGCAUCUGAGACCCCAGAGCUGUCCCAGGGGCGGGGGCUGGCCACCUGCAUCAGGCUGGCCCUCUGUCCCAGGCCCUCAGCAGCCCGAGGAUCCAGGAGCCGGAAGUUGCAGAAACCAGAGGUGUGCCCCAAGGGAGGCUCAGAAGAGCACACGGGGUGAGGGCAGGCUCUGGAGGCCCCCAGCCCAGGCCCCAGAACACACCCGAAAGCCCCAGACCCAGGCACCCAGGAGGAG